RNAcentral lists this non-coding RNA (45 nucleotides) under Trichobilharzia regenti. The record is from RNAcentral. Lineage: Eukaryota; Metazoa; Platyhelminthes; Trematoda; Strigeidida; Schistosomatidae.
AUCCAGAUGACGCAUCUCAAACAGGACGAAAUGUGCAUACUGGAU